GAUGAACGCUGGCGGCGUGCCUAAUACAUGCAAGUGAAACGGGUGUCUUCGGACACUAGUCGCGAACGGGUGAGUAAUACGUAGGCAACCUGCCCUAAAGAGGGGGAUAACUGAGGGAAACUUCAGCUAAUACCGCAUAAAGAACGCAAGGCAUCUUGCGGAGAUGAAAGGAGGGUCAAACCUCCGCUUUAGGAUGGGCCUACGGCGCAUUAGCUAGUUGGUGAGGUAACGGCCCACCAAGGUUAUGAUGCGUAGCCGACCUGAGAGGGUGAUCGGCCACAUUGGGACUGAGACACGGCCCAG
Molecule: ribosomal RNA, 303 nt
Filed under: uncultured bacterium
Lineage: Bacteria
Description: bacterial SSU rRNA
Rfam family: Bacterial small subunit ribosomal RNA
Source: RNAcentral